AUGGUCGACGCGGGAGAGCCGGGCGUUUUCGAACGUAUCGGCACCGAAGGAGCAAUCCUCCCCGACAAUCUCUCAGGUAUAUGUACCGCGUCGAGCUG
Molecule: non-coding RNA, 98 nt
Filed under: Leifsonia sp.
Lineage: Bacteria; Bacillati; Actinomycetota; Actinomycetes; Micrococcales; Microbacteriaceae
Description: Glycine sequence
Rfam family: Glycine riboswitch aptamer
About the family: This family represents the bacterial glycine riboswitch.
Source: RNAcentral